RNAcentral lists this ribosomal RNA (468 nucleotides) under uncultured bacterium. RNAcentral's name for it is "partial 16S ribosomal RNA". It matches the Rfam family "Bacterial small subunit ribosomal RNA", at positions 28 to 507 of the family's 1533-position model. The record is from RNAcentral.
GACGAACGCUGGCGGCGUGCUUAACACAUGCAAGUCGAACGGAAAGGCCCUGCUUUUGUGGGGUGCUCGAUUGGCGAACGGGUGAGUAACACGUGAGUAACCUGCCCUUGACUUUGGGAUAACUUCAGGAAACUGGGGCUAAUACCGGAUAGGAUCUCCUGCUGCAUGUUGGGGGUUGGAAAGUUUCGGCGGUUGGGGAUGGACUCGCGGCUUAUCAGCUUGUUGGUGGGGUAGUGGCUUACCAAGGCUUUGACGGGUAGCCGGCCUGAGAGGGUGACCGGCCACAUUGGGACUGAGAUACGGACCAGAAUCCUACGGGAGGCAGCAGUGGGGAAUAUUGCACAAUGGGCGGAAGCCUGAUGCAGCAACGCCGCGUGCGGGAUGACGGCCUUCGGGUUGUAAACCGCUUUCGCCUGUGACGAAGCGUGCGUGACGGUAAUGGGUAAAGAAGCACCGGCUAACUACGUG